RNAcentral lists this ribosomal RNA (449 nucleotides) under uncultured bacterium. Its description in RNAcentral is "partial 16S ribosomal RNA". It matches the Rfam family "Bacterial small subunit ribosomal RNA", at positions 354 to 796 of the family's 1533-position model. The record is from RNAcentral.
GUCGAGAAUCUUUCACAAUGGGGGCAACCCUGAUGGAGCGACGCCGCGUGGAGGAUAAGGUCUUCGGAUUGUAAACUCCUGUCAUGCGUGAACAAGGUUGCUUGGUUAAUACCUGGGCAAAUUGAUGGUAACGCAAGAGGAAGAGACGGCUAACUCUGUGCCAGCAGCCGCGGUAAUACAGAGGUCUCAAGCGUUGUUCGGAAUCACUGGGCGUAAAGGGUGCGUAGGUGGCGGGGUAAGUCAGAUGUGAAAGCCCGGGGCUCAACCUCGGAACUGCAUCCGAGACUGCCAUGCUAGAGUACUGGAGAGGUGACUAGAAUUCUCGGUGUAGCAGUGAAAUGCGUAGAUAUCGAGAGGAAUACCAAAGGCGUAGGCAGGUCACUGGACAGUUACUGACACUGAGGCACGAAGGCCAGGGGAGCGAACGGGAUUAGAAACCCCAGUAGUCC